AGAAACUUAGGAUAACCAAAACCGAAGGCCUUCAAAGCCUUAAACAAGAGUUAAACCCUCUUAGUUUCUGC
Molecule: transfer RNA, 71 nt
Filed under: Tringa guttifer (Nordmann's greenshank)
Lineage: Eukaryota; Metazoa; Chordata; Aves; Charadriiformes; Scolopacidae
Description: tRNA-Trp
Rfam family: tRNA
About the family: Transfer RNA (tRNA) molecules are approximately 80 nucleotides in length. Their secondary structure includes four short double-helical elements and three loops (D, anti-codon, and T loops). Further hydrogen bonds mediate the characteristic L-shaped molecular structure. tRNAs have two regions of fundamental functional importance: the anti-codon, which is responsible for specific mRNA codon recognition, and the 3' end, to which the tRNAs corresponding amino acid is attached (by aminoacyl-tRNA synthetases). tRNAs cope with the degeneracy of the genetic code in two manners: having more than one tRNA (with a specific anti-codon) for a particular amino acid; and 'wobble' base-pairing, i.e. permitting non-standard base-pairing at the 3rd anti-codon position.
Source: RNAcentral